AUACGGAGGGUGCAAGCGUUACUCGGAAUCACUGGGCGUAAAGCGCGCGCAGGCGGUCUUUUAAGUUGGAUGUGAAAGCCUACGGCUCAACCGUAGAACUGCAUCCAAAACUAUUAGACUGGAGUGUGCGAGAGGAAGAUGGAAUUAGUUGUGUAAGGGUAAAAUCCGUAGAGAUAACUAGGAAUACCAAAAGCGAAGGCAAUCUUCUGGAACACUACUGACGCUGAGGCGCGAAAGCGUGGGGAGCAAACGGGAUUAGAAACCCUAGUAGUCC
RNAcentral lists this ribosomal RNA (274 nucleotides) under uncultured bacterium. RNAcentral describes it as "partial 16S ribosomal RNA". It matches the Rfam family "Bacterial small subunit ribosomal RNA", at positions 523 to 796 of the family's 1533-position model. The record is from RNAcentral.